GAAAAUAUGGGAAACUAUGAAAAAUUUCUUCUAAUUGGGCACUUUGGAAAUUUGGAGUUAAUAGUGCAACCGGCCAGCUAUAUA
This 84-nucleotide non-coding RNA is filed under the name Clostridium autoethanogenum. RNAcentral describes it as "c-di-GMP-II sequence". It matches the Rfam family "Cyclic di-GMP-II riboswitch aptamer". The record is from RNAcentral. Lineage: Bacteria; Bacillati; Bacillota; Clostridia; Eubacteriales; Clostridiaceae.